UGGGGAAUAUUGGACAAUGGGCGCAAGCCUGAUCCAGCAAUGCCGCGUGUGUGAAGAAGGCCUUCGGGUUGUAAAGCACUUUUGUCCGGAAAGAAAACGUCGUGGUUAAUACCCGUGGCGGCUGACGGUACCGGAAGAAUAAGCACCGGCUAACUACGUGCCAGCAGCCGCGGUAAUACGUAGGGUGCAAGCGUUAACCGGAAUUACUGGGCGUAAAGCGUGCGCAGGCGGUCCGCUAAGACAGAUGUGAAAUCCCCGGGCUUAACCUGGGAACUGCAUUUGUGACUGGCGGGCUAGAGUAUGGCAGAGGGGGGUAGAAUUCCACGUGUAGCAGUGAAAUGCGUAGAGAUGUGGAGGAAUACCGAUGGCGAAGGCAGCCCCCUGGGCCAAUACUGACGCUCAUGCACGAAAGCGUGGGGGAGCAAACAGGAUUAGAUACCCUGGUAGUCCACGCCCUAAACGAUGUCAACUAGUUGUCGGGUCUUCAUUGACUUGGUAACGUAGCUAACGCGUGAAGUUGACCGCCUGGGGAGUACGGUCGCAAGAUU
Molecule: ribosomal RNA, 548 nt
Filed under: uncultured bacterium
Lineage: Bacteria
Description: partial 16S ribosomal RNA
Rfam family: Bacterial small subunit ribosomal RNA
Source: RNAcentral